UACGUAGGUGGCAAGCGUUGUCCGGAUUUACUGGGCGUAAAGGAUGCGUAGGUGGAUAUUUAAGUGGGAUGUGAAAUACCCGGGCUCAACUUGGGUGCUGCAUUCCAAACUGGAUAUCUAGAGUGCAGGAGAGGAAAGUGGAAUUCCUAGUGUAGCAGUGAAAUGCGUAGAUAUUAGGAGGAACACCAGUGGCGAAGGCGGCUUUCUGGACUGUAACUGACGCUGAGGCAUGAAAGCGUGGGGAGCAAAC
This 250-nucleotide ribosomal RNA is filed under the name uncultured bacterium. RNAcentral's name for it is "partial 16S ribosomal RNA". It matches the Rfam family "Bacterial small subunit ribosomal RNA", at positions 524 to 773 of the family's 1533-position model. The record is from RNAcentral.